Molecule: ribosomal RNA, 274 nt
Filed under: uncultured bacterium
Lineage: Bacteria
Description: partial 16S ribosomal RNA
Rfam family: Bacterial small subunit ribosomal RNA
Source: RNAcentral
CGACGGAGGGUCCUAGCGUUGUUCGGAAUGACUGGGCGUAAAGGGUACGUAGGCGGUUUGGUCAGUUAGAUGUGAAAGCCCAGGGCUCAACCUUGGAACUGCAUUUAAUACUGCCAAACUUGAGAUCGGAAGAGGAAAGCGGAAUUUCUAGUGUAGAGGUGAAAUUCGUAGAUAUUAGAAGGAACAUCAGAGGCGAAGGCGGCUUUCUGGUCCGAUACUGACGCUGAGGUACGAAAGCGUGGGGAGCAAACAGGAUUAGAUACCCGAGUAGUCC